ACGGGGUGCAGCAGGCGCGAAAACUGACCAAUGCGCGAAAGCGUGAGUCGGUCAAUCCGAGUGUAGACCCAUCGGUUUACUUUCGUCAUGUGUACAACGCUUGGCGAAUAAUGUGAGGGCAAGACUGGUGCCAGCCGCCGCGGUAAAACCAGCUCAUAGAGUGGUGAUCAUGAUUAUUUGGCUUAAAGUGUGCGUAGCAGGGAAUUCUAAGUCCUUUGUGAAAUGUCAGGUCUUAAGCUUGACACGUGCAGAGGAUACUGGAAUCCUUGGGACUGGGAUAGGUGUAAUGUACGGUUUGGGUAGGGGUGAAAUCCGAUAAUCCAAGCCGGACAACCGGUGGCGAAGGCGUUACACUGGAACAGGUCCGACUGUGAGGCACGAAAGCUAGGGUCGCGAGCCGGAUUAGAUACCCCGGUAGUCCUGGCCGUAAACGCUGUGGGCUAGGUGUUGCAUGCUCUACGAGGGCGUGCAGUGCCGAAGAGAAGUUGAUAAGCCUACCGCCUGGGAAGUACUAUCGCAAGAU
RNAcentral lists this ribosomal RNA (523 nucleotides) under uncultured archaeon. RNAcentral describes it as "bacterial SSU rRNA". It matches the Rfam family "Archaeal small subunit ribosomal RNA", at positions 325 to 849 of the family's 1478-position model. The record is from RNAcentral.